This 253-nucleotide unclassified non-coding RNA is filed under the name Hevea brasiliensis (rubber tree). Lineage: Eukaryota; Viridiplantae; Streptophyta; Magnoliopsida; Malpighiales; Euphorbiaceae. The record is from RNAcentral.
UGGAUGAACUUUUUAACUCAAUAUCAAUAUUAACAGUCAUUUCUAAACCUGUAACUCAUAAACAAAGAAAGAAAACCAGAUCAAACAACAAGAACCUCAACCUUUUACAGAGUCUGCAUUUCAUAGUGAAAAAAAAAAAAAAAAUACAUACGAAUAAGAUGUAACUGCAUAAAUGCCUAGAUCAACAAAAGUAUGCAAAAUGGAGAAUUUGAACUCAAAUUCAUCCAGGAAUGCAGAACAAAUAACUUACUAU